GGUUCAACAUGGGUUUAGAUUUAUGUUUUGAAUAAUUUCAACUUUUUAUUUUAUAAAUAAUUUACAAUAAAUUUUAUGCAAAGGUGUUCUAUUCUAAAAUUGAGUUGACUCAAUUUAAAACUGAAUUAGCUCAGUAAUUAUGCGAGUAUGUUUCAAAGAGUUUCAGAUCUGAAAAAUCUUACAUAAUCCUAAAAUAAAAUCAAUCAUAAACAUCCUUUU
Molecule: long non-coding RNA, 219 nt
Filed under: Elaeis guineensis (African oil palm)
Lineage: Eukaryota; Viridiplantae; Streptophyta; Magnoliopsida; Arecales; Arecaceae
Description: long non-coding RNA (EGUI_LNC061519)
Source: RNAcentral